AUACUUACCUGGCAGGGAGGGGAGAUACCGUGAUCAUGAAAGUGGUUUUCUUAGGGUGAGGCUUAUCCAUUGUACCCUGGACGUGCUACCCCUGUGGUUUCCCCAAAUGUGGGAAACUCAUAGUGGUGGACUGCAUUCUCACUCUCCCCUU
This 151-nucleotide small nuclear RNA is filed under the name Peromyscus maniculatus bairdii (prairie deer mouse). RNAcentral describes it as "U1 spliceosomal RNA (ENSPEMG00000003434.2)". It matches the Rfam family "U1 spliceosomal RNA". From Rfam's summary of the family: U1 is a small nuclear RNA (snRNA) component of the spliceosome (involved in pre-mRNA splicing). Its 5' end forms complementary base pairs with the 5' splice junction, thus defining the 5' donor site of an intron. The record is from RNAcentral. Lineage: Eukaryota; Metazoa; Chordata; Mammalia; Rodentia; Cricetidae.